This 400-nucleotide ribosomal RNA is filed under the name uncultured bacterium. Its description in RNAcentral is "bacterial SSU rRNA". It matches the Rfam family "Bacterial small subunit ribosomal RNA", at positions 356 to 773 of the family's 1533-position model. The record is from RNAcentral.
GGGGAAUCUUCCGCAAUGGGCGAAAGCCUGACGGAGCAACGCCGCGUGAGUGAUGACGGUCUUCGGAUUGUAAAGCUCUGUCUUUUGGGACGAUAAUGACGGUACCAAAGGAGGAAGCCACGGCUAACUACGUGCCAGCAGCCGCGGUAAUACGUAGGUGGCAAGCGUUGUCCGGAUUUACUGGGCGUAAAGGAUGUGUAGGCGGAUACUUAAGUGAGAUGUGAAAGCCCCGGGCUCAACCUGGGGACUGCAUUUCAAACUGGGUAUCUAGAGUGCAGGAGAGGAAAGCGGAAUUCCUAGUGUAGCGGUGAAAUGCGUAGAGAUUAGGAAGAACAUCAGUGGCGAAGGCGGCUUUCUGGACUGUAACUGACGCUGAGGCAUGAAAGCGUGGGGAGCAAAC